GCCCUGAUGGUCUAGCGGUAUGAUUCUCCCUUAGGGUUAGAACCCAGUUCUGGGAGAGGUCCCAGGUUCGAUCCCUGGUUAGGGCC
Non-coding RNA from Colletotrichum zoysiae, 86 nucleotides. Lineage: Eukaryota; Fungi; Ascomycota; Sordariomycetes; Glomerellales; Glomerellaceae. The record is from the annotation of a GenBank genome assembly.